This is a long non-coding RNA of Amblyraja radiata (thorny skate), 405 nucleotides long. RefSeq lists it as uncharacterized. The record is from RefSeq and is a predicted model, not a curated record. NCBI's taxonomy places the organism in Eukaryota, Metazoa, Chordata, Chondrichthyes, Rajiformes, Rajidae. The transcript is spliced from 6 exons.
AGGUUGUUGGUCCAGGUGUAGUUUGUGACGUAGUUGUACCUGUGGUUGUUGUUUCAGGUGUAGUUGGUGAUUCAGUUACACCUGUAGUUGUUGGUCCAGGUGUAGUUGGUGAUUCUGUUGUACCUGUGGUUGUUGAUUCAGGUGUUGUUGGUGAUUCAGUUGUACCUGUAGUUGUUGGUCCAGGUGUAGUUGGUGAUUCAGUUACACCUGUAGUUGUUGGUCCAGGUGUAGUUGGUGAUUCUGUUGUACCUGUAGUUGUUGGUCCAGGUGUAGUUGGUGAUUCUGUUGUACCUGUGGUUGUUGAUUCAGGUGUUGUUGGUGAUUCAGUUGUACCUGUAGUUGUUGGUCCAGGUGUAGUUGGUGAUUCAGUUGUAACAGUUGUUGUUGGUUCAGGUGUAGUUGAUG